UAAGGAAUAUUGGUCAAUGGACGCAAGUCUGAACCAGCCGUGCCGCGUGAAGGAUGAAGGUCCUCUGGAUUGUAAACUUCUUUUAUCUGGGACGAAAACGGGAUUUUUAUCUCAAUUGACGGUACCAGAGGAAUAAGCACCGGCUAACUCCGUGCCAGCAGCCGCGGUAAUACGGAGGGUGCGAGCGUUAUCCGGAUUUACUGGGUUUAAAGGGUGCGUAGGUGGGCUUAUAAGUCAGUGGUGAAAUCUCCGAGCUUAACUUGGAAACUGCCGUUGAUACUAUAGGUCUUGAAUUAUCUGGAGGUAAGCGGAAUAUGUCAUGUAGCGGUGAAAUGCUUAGAUAUGACAUAGAACACCAAUUGCGAAGGCAGCUUACUACAUAUAAAUUGACGCUGAGGCACGAAAGCGUGGGGAUCAAACA
This 421-nucleotide ribosomal RNA is filed under the name uncultured bacterium. RNAcentral's name for it is "bacterial SSU rRNA". It matches the Rfam family "Bacterial small subunit ribosomal RNA", at positions 355 to 774 of the family's 1533-position model. The record is from RNAcentral.